RNAcentral lists this long non-coding RNA (767 nucleotides) under Trifolium pratense (red clover). Its description in RNAcentral is "long non-coding RNA (TPRA_LNC013101)". Lineage: Eukaryota; Viridiplantae; Streptophyta; Magnoliopsida; Fabales; Fabaceae. The record is from RNAcentral.
GGCAAACUGAUAUUUUCAGUCACUUAUCUGAUAUCUAAUAUCCCAAGGCAUACUUUGAACUACAAUCCAAAAGAAAGGUUGACACAGAAGGCAUUGUAACUUGUAAGGUUGACACUCUUCAAAGCCCAUUAUCUUGAGGUAGGGAACGGGUGUUGGCUUGGCUCUUCUCAACUGUAUCUUCGUUUGAUGAUUUAUCAAAAGUCAAACUAACAAUAGCAAUAGUCAAGGAAAAAUUUAUCAAUUCAAAAAACUAACUAGAGUUAAAAUAAAUCUCACAAAAUAAAACAAAGGAAACAGUCUAGACAGUAGGCAUAUUUCAAAAGUAUCACACAACUAAAGGAAACUUGCAAUUUAUUGUUGAUAUAAGGCGAAGCUUAAGCUAUUAGCCUGGAAGAGUCCAGUUUAUCAGGAGUGUAAUCCAUAGGGCUCUGCAGUUAUUCUGCAACCCAUCUUUUGUCUUAAAAAUAAGAAACUAAACUUUAUUUUGUGUUGAAAAAUGAACAAUAGAGUCCUUAAGUUAUUAAUGAAAACCACAAAAAUUGUGGCCUCUUUGCAAGUUUGAAGUUUCACUUGCUUCCUAUUUUUCAAUUCAUAAUCCUCUUCAAGAAAAAGUCACUGCCUAAAGAAAUGACAUAUCAACUAAAGCAAACCACAAGAUCAAGUAUAAAGAAUAAUGUACCGUAUUUUGGUGAGCCAUGUCAACCGACUGCAUACUUUCAGUGUCUUCAAGUUACACAACAAUGAAGGGAGUUUAGCCUUGAAUAAAU